UCAAGCUGUAAAGGGCGCAAGGGGAAUGCCUUGGCACUGAGAGCCGACGAAGGACGCGACAAGCUGCGAUAAGCUACGGGGAGCCGCAAAUGGGCUUUGAUCCGUGGAUUUCCGAAUGGGGAAACCCGAUGGAGCAAUACUCCAUCAACCAUGACUGAAUACAUAGGUCAUGGUGGGGAACCGCCUGAACUGAAACAUCUAAGUAGGGCGAGGAAGAGAAAUCAACCGAGAUUCCGCUAGUAGUGGCGAGCGAACGCGGAAGAGGCCAAACCGGAGGUAGCAAUAUUUCCGGGGUUAGGACUGCAAUAUGUAACUUUAAUCUUUAACUGAAUGCUUUGGGAAGAGCAGCGAUAUAGGGUGACAGCCCCGUAAGUGAAAAGGAUUGAGUGCUAGCAGUAUCCAGAGUACCAGCGGACACGUGAAACCCGCUGGGAAGAUGGGGGGACCAUCCUCCAAGCCUAAAUACUACUCAGUGACCGAUAGUGGAGCAGUACCGUGAGGGAAAGGUGAAAAGUACCCCGGGAGGGGAGUGAAAAAGAACCUGAAACCUUGUGCCUACAAGCACCGAGAGCACGUUAAAGUGUGAUCGGGUACUUUUUGUAGAACGGUCCGGCGAGUUAAUAUUUGCAGCGAGGUUAAGGAACUGGAGUUCCGGAGCCGCAGCGAGAGCGAGUCUGAAAAGGGCGUAUGAAGUUGCAGGUAUUAGACCCGAAACCGGGUGACCUAUCCAUGAGCAGGCUGAAGCGGUGGUAAGACACCGUGGAGGGCCGCACCCACGUCUGUUGAAAAAGCCGGGGAUGACUUGUGGAUAGCGGAGAAAUUCCAAUCGAACUCGGAGAUAGCUGGUUCUCCCCGAAAUAGCUUUAGGGCUAGCGUUAUUUUAGAUUACCGGAGGUAAAGCACUGAAUGGUCUAGGGGCCGCGAGGUUACCAAAGCCUAUCAAACUCUGAAUGCCGGAUAAUUGAUGAAUAGCAGUCAGACUGUGUGAGAUAAGUCUCAUAGUCAAAAGGGAAACAGCCCAGAUCUACAGCUAAGGUCCCAAAUGAACACUAAGUGGAAAAUGAUGUGAAACUGCGAAGACAACCAGGAUGUUGGCUUAGAAGCAGCCACUCAUUCAAAGAGUGCGUAAUAGCUCACUGGUCGAGUGGUUUUGCGCAGAAAAUGUAACGGGGCUAAGUGUUCAACCGAAGCUUAGGCAUUGCAGUAAUGCAUUGGGUAGGGGAGCGUCGUAUGCGGGGCGAAGUCAGAGCGGAAGCACUGGUGGACUGCAUACGAGUGAGAAUGCCGGAAUAAGUAGCGAGAAUUAUGUGAGAAUCAUAAUGGCCGAAAAUCUAAGGUUUCUUGGGGAAGGUUCGUCCGCCCAAGGUUAGUCGGGAGCUAAGCUCAGGCCGAAAGGCGUAGGCGAUGCACAUACGGUAGAAAUUCCGUAACCACCGAACAUUUAAGCUAGAGGGACGCUUUCUUUAAGGUUAUCCCGGGCGAUGGUUGCCCCGGGCGUAAGGGACCGAAAUAUAGUAGGGAAGUAACUGGCGAGAGAGACGAGAAAAGCUCUAGUGUAUACUAAGGUGCCCGUACCGCAAACCGACACAGGUAGAUGGGAUGAGUAUUCUAAGGCCAACGGGAGAAGGGUUGUUAAGGAACUCGGCAAAUUGGCCCCGUAACUUCGGGAUAAGGGGCGCCUGCGAGAGCAGGCCGCAGUGAAAAGGCCCAAGCGACUGUUUAGCAAAAACACAGCUCUCUGCUAAAUCGAAAGAUGACGUAUAGGGGGUGACGCCUGCCCGGUGCUGGAAGGUUAAGGGGAGUGCUUAGCGCAAGCGAAGGUGCGAACUUAAGCCCCAGUAAACGGCGGCCGUAACUAUAACGGUCCUAAGGUAGCGAAAUUCCUUGUCAGGUAAGUUCUGACCCGCACGAAUGGCGUAACGAUUUGGGCACUGUCUCAACAGCCCGCCCGGCGAAAUUGUAGUACCGGUGAAGAUGCCGGUUUCCCGCAACUAGACGGAAAGACCCCAUGGAGCUUCACUGUAGCUUGAUAUUGGAUCUCGGUAUUCCAUGUACAGGAUAGGUGGGAGGCUAGGAAGUAAGCGCGCCAGCGUUUAUGGAGCCAACCUUGGGAUACCACUCUUGGGAUAUUGGGAUUCUAACCUGCGACCAUGAAUCUGGUCGGGGGACACUGUCAGGUGGGCAGUUUGACUGGGGCGGUCGCCUCCAAAAGAGUAACGGAGGCGC
This 2226-nucleotide ribosomal RNA is filed under the name human gut metagenome. RNAcentral describes it as "bacterial LSU rRNA". It matches the Rfam family "Bacterial large subunit ribosomal RNA", at positions 3 to 2309 of the family's 2925-position model. The record is from RNAcentral.